UACAGAGGUCUCAAGCGUUGUUCGGAUUCAUUGGGCGUAAAGGGUGCGUAGGCGGGUCUUUAAGUCAGGGGUGAAAUCCGUGGAGCUCAACUCCAGAACUGCCUUUGAUACUGAGGAUCUUGAGUUCGGGAGAGGUGAGUGGAACUGCGAAGUGUAGAGGUGAAAUUCGUAGAUAUCGUCAAGAACACCAGUGGCGAAGGCGGCUCACUGGCCCGAUACUGACGCUGAGGCACGAAAGCGUGGGGAGCAACAGG
Molecule: ribosomal RNA, 254 nt
Filed under: uncultured bacterium
Lineage: Bacteria
Description: partial 16S ribosomal RNA
Rfam family: Bacterial small subunit ribosomal RNA
Source: RNAcentral